GCAGUGGUAGCCAAGUGGUAAGGCAGCGAUAAAGUCUCCUUGUUCAUAAUCUUAUCCGUAAGGGUCGAAGAAUUGAGGGUUAUCUUAAUGGGUUUCGCUAUUCGCGGGUUCGACUCCCGCCCACUGCA
This 128-nucleotide transfer RNA is filed under the name Waterburya agarophytonicola KI4. It matches the Rfam family "tRNA". Rfam says of the family: Transfer RNA (tRNA) molecules are approximately 80 nucleotides in length. Lineage: Bacteria; Bacillati; Cyanobacteriota; Cyanophyceae; Pleurocapsales; Pleurocapsaceae. The record is from Rfam by way of RNAcentral.